GAGUUUGAUCAUGGCUCAGGACGAACGCUGGCUACAGGCUUAACAUAUGCAAGUCGAGGGGCAUCAGUUUGGGUUGCUUGCAAACCAAAGCUGGCGACCGGCGCACGGGUGAGUAACACGUAUCCAACCUGCCUCAUACUCGGGGAUAGCCUUUCGAAAGAAGAUUAAUAUCCGAUAGCAUAUAUUUCCCGCAUGGGUUUAUAUUAAAGAAUUCGGUAUGAGAUGGGGAUGCGUUCCAUUAGUUGUUGGGGGGUAACGCCCACCAAGACUACGAUGGAUAGGGGUUCUGAGAGGACGGUCCCCCCAAUUGGAACUGAGACACGGUCCAAACU
RNAcentral lists this ribosomal RNA (332 nucleotides) under uncultured bacterium. Its description in RNAcentral is "bacterial SSU rRNA". It matches the Rfam family "Bacterial small subunit ribosomal RNA", at positions 9 to 337 of the family's 1533-position model. The record is from RNAcentral.